RNAcentral lists this small RNA (438 nucleotides) under Histoplasma capsulatum. RNAcentral describes it as "hypothetical RNA". Lineage: Eukaryota; Fungi; Ascomycota; Eurotiomycetes; Onygenales; Ajellomycetaceae. RNAcentral also lists the same sequence under 1 other name. The record is from RNAcentral.
GUAUUGGAAGGAAAGGCCUUAUUUGUAGGGAAACAAACGACAAGAGUGUUGGCAACUUGAUCAUUGGUUAUUUAUUACAUUCGCUUGGCCAUGGGGCCGUACUAAGAUGUGAUAAACCAAAUGUUCAACGAGGGCUUGUGGACAAAAUGAGAGAAUCCCUCCUGCUUUCAAGCCGAUUUAAUCAUCCAAAACUCCACGCUUGCUCUUACCUCAUGAAGCACGGUACAAAGAUGAAUACUAGGAAUCUUGGCAGCUCCUAAUGCCGCCCCUUGCUGCUUACUCGAUUCGGAGCCUGACUUUGAUGGAGAGCAAGAAUUAUAUCUUUUCGCGUAUUCCGCGGCGCAGCUGGAAGGUUCAUGGAUGAUAUGCUGGCCGCGGUUACACUGUGGAUGAAAGGAGGGAGGGAGGGAGGAAAGAAUCGGUCUCAACAAUGACCAA